UCAGAACGUAGUCAAAACAUUAUGGCUGCCGAUUGUUGACAGCAUCUCUGUUCGAUUUUUUACAUAAAGUAAAUAAAGCAUAUUAUUUUUAAUACAAAAUACAAUGAGUUGUGUACUUCGAGGUUGUAAAAGUGCAUGGUAUCCAAAUUGUGGUGUGAAAUUUCACGGGUUCCCUAGUGACCCUGACCUGAGGCAAGCUUGGUUAUCUAAAAUACCAUUAAAAUCAAAUUAUUAUAAAUCUGCCAGAAUUUGUAGCCUACACUUUCGAUCUGAACUUGAAGACUAUGAUGUCAAUAGACCUGACCGCUUAUUGAAAUCUGCUAUACCAAAGAUUUGUGGGUGUUGCGAAACAUUGGAAUGUCUUAAUAUUCCUUCAAGCUCACAAGAAACUCCUUGCGCUAAAGCGUCAGCAAUGCCGAUACUUGAAAAAUAU
Long non-coding RNA from Aricia agestis (brown argus), 433 nucleotides. RefSeq lists it as uncharacterized. The transcript has 3 exons. Lineage: Eukaryota; Metazoa; Arthropoda; Insecta; Lepidoptera; Lycaenidae. The record is from RefSeq and is a predicted model, not a curated record.